GCGCACGGGCUGAGUAACACGUAGGUGACCUGCCUUUUAGAGGGGAAUAACCAGAAGAAAUUUUGGCUAAUGCCGCAUACGAAGCACGGUUUUAAGACUGUGCUUGAAAGAAUGCCUCUGCAUAUGCAUUCGCUAUUAGAUGGGCCUGCGGGACAUUAGCUAGUUGGUGGGGUAAAGGCCUACCAAGGCGACGAUGUCUAUCCGGUCUGAGAGGAUGAUCGGACACACUGGAACUGAGACACGGUCCAGACUCCUACGGGAGGCAGCAGUGGGGAAUAUUGCGCAAUGGGGGAAACCCUGACGCAGCAACGCCGCGUGAGUGAGGAAGGACUUCGGUCUGUAAAGCUCUGUUAAUGUGGAAAAAUGGCAGUUGGUCUAAUAGGCCGAUUGUUUGAUGGUACACAUAGAGGAAGCACCGGCUAACUUCGUGCCAGCAGCCGCGGUAAUACGAAGGGUGCAAGCGUUGUUCGGAUUUAUUGGGCGUAAAGCGCGCGUAGGCGGACCUGCAAGUCAGAUGUGAAAUCUCGGGGCUCAACCUCGAAACUGCGUCUGAAACUACAGGUCUAGAAUCUCGGAGGGGGAAGGGGAAUAUCGCAUGUAGGGGUAAAAUCCGUAGAUAUGCGAUGGAACACCAGAGGCGAAGGCGCCUUCCUGGACGAGUAUUGACGCUGAGGCGCGAAAGCGUGGGGAUCAAACAGGAUUAGAUACCCUGGUAGUCCACGCUGUAAACGAUGAACACUAGAUAUUGGAGGAUUUGACCCCUUCAGUGUCGUAGCUAACGCGUUAAGUGUUCCGCCUGGGAAGUACGGUCGCAAGACUAAAACUCAAAGGAAUUGACGGGGGCCCGCACAAGCGGUGGAUUAUGUGGUUUAAUUCGAAGCAACGCGCAGAACCUUACCUAGGCUUGAAAUCCUACGAAUCCCUUUUAAACGAGGGAGUGCUCUUCGGAGAAUGUAGUGACAGGCGCUGCAUGGCUGUCGUCAGCUCGUGUCGUGAGAUGUUGGGUUAAGUCUCGCAACGAGCGCAACCCCCAUUUUUAGUUGCCAGCAUUAAGUUGGGCACUCUAGAAAGACUGCCUGGGCUAACCAGGAGGAAGGU
RNAcentral lists this ribosomal RNA (1098 nucleotides) under Bacteriovorax stolpii. Its description in RNAcentral is "16S ribosomal RNA". It matches the Rfam family "Bacterial small subunit ribosomal RNA", at positions 98 to 1174 of the family's 1533-position model. Lineage: Bacteria; Pseudomonadati; Bdellovibrionota; Bacteriovoracia; Bacteriovoracales; Bacteriovoracaceae. The record is from RNAcentral.